Non-coding RNA from Cyanistes caeruleus (blue tit), 1444 nucleotides. The record is from RefSeq and is a predicted model, not a curated record. Lineage: Eukaryota; Metazoa; Chordata; Aves; Passeriformes; Paridae.
UUGGCAACUUGGGGUGGUUUUGCUGUCUGCAUUUUUUGUCUUUAGCCCCUGUGUUUUGGAGAAGUGCCUGCCCACAGCAGCUGAGCCAGACUUCCAGGGCUGGAAGCACAUCUUCUAAAUCAUGGAUAAAGAAGAGGUACUCCAAUAAACAUCUCUCACCAUCUUCUCCUCCUGGUUUUGGGGACAGAAAGGAGCAGGAUCCACUCUUUUUUGUUAUUGUCAAGUUACUGAAUCCCUUCCAGAGCUGCUUGUACUUCUGUGAUCAAGUUUGGUCAAGUUUGGUUCUGUGAUCAAGGUGCACAAAGUUUCCCAUUUCCUUUUUCUUUCCCAGAAAGAAGUUUGAGAGAACUUUUGAAAGAAGCACAGAAGUUUGAGAGAAACAGUGGCUGUGAGAAAAUGAUUCUCCUAUGAACUAUGAGAAAGAAAAAGCUGAGAUCACGAUGGGUGGAUCCUCCUUUACCCAACUGUCCAGAUCAGCCUCCUAGAAUAACUUACCCAGGGAGAGAUCAUUUGUUUCAGUGAAAUACAGAUCUCAAGGGAGAUCUUGAUUAUAAGGGAAAAGAUAAUAUAUCAGGUAACAUGGGCUUCCUCUAAUAUUCCCUUUUAUUCCCAUCUUCUACAGUCCUCGCUCCCAUCCAGUUCUUUUUUUCCCACACAUCCUCUGCCAAUCUCUUCUCCCUGGAGUCUGUUCCUGCUCCUGGGGAGUUCCAUUCCAGUCCUUGUCUGGAUCUGGGUGAUAUUACAUCAGGCUUCAUGUCCUGUUCUGGGAGAGAAAGCAAGACAAUAAAUCUCUCCUGUUUUUAACAGGCUAAUUACGAUUUUGUGUAACCCACUGGCUUACUGUUUCUCCACCAGAGCUUGGGAGGAGCAGGGAAGGAAGAGGCAGAACUACUGAACAAAACCCCACAGCAGCCUUUUUUGGCAUCGUUUGUGAAGGAAAGGGGAGAGAACAGGAGAGAGAUCCUAAUCUUAAUAUGCAUUAGGUGCUGCCAUACAUCAGGUGGGUGUGGACUGAAAUGCUCAGUAGCCAGAGAUGGUAGAUUAGGCAGAUUGUUUGCUGUGAGAUGGAGAGAGGGAAAAGAGCAGGAAAGACUCAAGGAGGGGCUGCAGAAGGGUGUGAGGUUAGAUUCUUGCUAUCCUGGAUGAAAAUGCCACAUGCUGAUGGUAUCCAUUCCACCCUUUCCAUUCUAACUGAAGUCUCCCAUGGGCUCAAGGGGGCUACCACUGCCCAGUGUCCCCAGCAGCCCCUCUUUCAGUUCCUUGGUACCUGGGUUGGGAUGGGGGAUCUCCUUCCAAGGGACAUGUUAAACUCUUCUUUCUUAUGGGGUUAUGUGCAUUUUCCUUCUUGAAGUGAUGUUUCCCCUUAAACCCAUGAUUUUUUAGACUUCCUUCCCACCUUUUAUGCAUAUUGUGAGCUGGAAAAUAAACCUUUAAGUGGCUUGAA